AUUAGAAUGGGCGCAGCCUGAUCAGCCAUGCCGCGUGUGUGAAGAAGGCCUUCGGGUUGUAAAGCACUUUCAGUAGGGAGGAAGGCUUCGGGUUAAUACCCUGGAGUACUUGACGUUACCUACAGAAGAAGCACCGGCUAAUUUCGUGCCAGCAGCCGCGGUAAUAC
RNAcentral lists this ribosomal RNA (167 nucleotides) under uncultured Alcanivorax sp. RNAcentral's name for it is "partial 16S ribosomal RNA". It matches the Rfam family "Bacterial small subunit ribosomal RNA", at positions 363 to 526 of the family's 1533-position model. Lineage: Bacteria; Pseudomonadati; Pseudomonadota; Gammaproteobacteria; Oceanospirillales; Alcanivoracaceae. The record is from RNAcentral.